GACGAACGCUGGCGGCGUGCCUAAUACAUGCAAGUCGAACGACGAGACUUUAACUGAUGCUUGCAUCGACCAAAGGAUCGGAGUGGCGAACGGGUGAGUAACACGUGGGUAACCUGCCUAUCAGAGGGGGAUAACACUUGGAAACAGGUGCUAAUACCGCAUAACAAUCAUAACCGCAUGGUUAUGAUUUGAAAGGCGCUUCUGGUGUCACUGAUAGAUGGACCCGCGGUGCAUUAGCUAGUCGGUGGGGUAACGGCCUACCGAGGCGAUGAUACGUAGCCGAACUGAGAGGUUGAUCGGCCACAAUGGGACUGAGACACGGCCCAUACUCCUACGGGAGGCAGCAGUAGGGAAUCUUCCACAAUGGGCGCAAGCCUGAUGGAGCAACGCCGCGUGAAUGAAGAAGGUCUUCGGAUCGUAAAGUUCUGUUAUUAGAGAAGAACACGUGUAAGAGUAACUGAUUAUGCGUUGACGGUAUCUAAUCAGCAAGUCACGGCUAACUACGUGCCAGCCGCCGCCGUAAGAC
This 526-nucleotide ribosomal RNA is filed under the name uncultured bacterium. RNAcentral's name for it is "bacterial SSU rRNA". It matches the Rfam family "Bacterial small subunit ribosomal RNA", at positions 28 to 526 of the family's 1533-position model. The record is from RNAcentral.